UUUCGGGUCCAAACAGGCACACUCAAACGCAACCCGCGUACGGGCCGGCCGGUGUUGAGCAACUUUGCAUUGUGCACACCACAAACUCCCUUUCAGUUCGAGAGAAGAUUUCAAUAUGCGUUUCUUCCCCCUUGCGCGUCUGUUUGACUCCUUGGUCCGUGUUUCAAGACGGGUGGAAAUACCCCAUUCGUUCGUUGUCAAUUUUGAGAGAAUCCAGCGGGAAGCGACGCACGUCACUCAGAGGACCGGGGGGGUUGGCCCCGAUGAACUGAGCCGACGCCGCUUUAUCCCCGCGUUAUUUCAUCACCAAACCCUCGGGUCAGCAGGUGUUUCGCUCGGUGGGUUCCCGAAGGAAAAUCCGCCAAGAGUAACGCUGCGAGGUUGGUCUUGACCCAGGAAUGGAGGUACUUCCAUUACCAUUGUCACGACUUCAGGUUCUAUGUCACUCUCUUUCCAAAGUGCUUUUCAAACUUUCGCUCACGCUACUUGUUCGCUAUCGGUCUUCCUA
This 508-nucleotide ribosomal RNA is filed under the name Kinetoplastida sp. LDR2000. RNAcentral describes it as "partial 24S ribosomal RNA". The record is from RNAcentral. Lineage: Eukaryota; Euglenozoa; Kinetoplastea.